CAGUUGCAGAAAACCCGAAGGAUGCUGGCCAAUCAGAGCAGACUGGGCUUUUUCCAGUGGGGGACUUAAAGAGACCGGCCCUCCUAGAGAGCAUAUUGUACAGAGGGUGACUACAGGUGC
This is a long non-coding RNA of Etheostoma spectabile (orangethroat darter), 120 nucleotides long. RefSeq lists it as uncharacterized. The record is from RefSeq and is a predicted model, not a curated record. The transcript is spliced from 3 exons. Lineage: Eukaryota; Metazoa; Chordata; Actinopteri; Perciformes; Percidae.